This 199-nucleotide long non-coding RNA is filed under the name Nicotiana benthamiana. RNAcentral describes it as "long non-coding RNA (NBEN_LNC025101)". The record is from RNAcentral. Lineage: Eukaryota; Viridiplantae; Streptophyta; Magnoliopsida; Solanales; Solanaceae.
GAAACUCUGUGGAGAUACUAUAACUGAUUAUGUCCCUUUUCUGAUUAAAUUUUAAAGAUCGAUUGGCAUAAUUGUGAGCGGAAACGGUGCUAUUAGACAUCCAUUAUAAUACAUAUGACGAUGUUUAAUAUUAAAACAAUUUAAUCAAUUUAAGAUUACACAUACAAUGUUCCGUGGACUAUUUUUGCUUGAUUACAAU